ACUGGGGGCUUUCGGGCUCUGCGU
This 24-nucleotide microRNA is filed under the name Pan troglodytes (chimpanzee). Its description in RNAcentral is "ptr-miR-637". Its record names the gene ptr-miR-637. The record is from miRBase by way of RNAcentral. RNAcentral also lists the same sequence under 1 other name. Lineage: Eukaryota; Metazoa; Chordata; Mammalia; Primates; Hominidae.